Molecule: long non-coding RNA, 966 nt
Filed under: Monodelphis domestica (gray short-tailed opossum)
Lineage: Eukaryota; Metazoa; Chordata; Mammalia; Didelphimorphia; Didelphidae
Description: lncRNA (ENSMODG00000049016.1)
Source: RNAcentral
CUCAAAAUGGCUACUUUCCACAGUCACACAGGCUUUUGAAAUGUAUAUAGACCCAAUUUCUCUGAAACUUUUCUGACACCUCCACUGUCUUCUUUUCCCCCAAAUUUUGGCAAAAUAGGCUGGAAAUCCAAGUUGGCUCUACCAAAAAUGUAAUAUUUGUGGGAUUGAAGAAGUACAGGGGAUAAGGAAGGUUUUGUAACAUGGAAUGGGGGGAUUUGAAGGGAGAGAGGGAAUAUGGCUGCUGGUGAGGUUAAAGAAGAGAGAUACCCCCUGCUGAGAGGCUAUCUUUGAAAAUUGGUUCUUGAGAAAUGGGUCACCUAUGAUAGCCUGAGGAAAUUUCUUCUCUAUUGAUGGAUGUUGAAGAUACCGCAGAGCAGAUGAAUAAAUUGAGGCCCAGUAAGGUCAAGUGACUUGUUCAAGUCCACAGAUACACUAAGUGGCAGACCUGGGAUUCAAGAUAAGCACUGCUGUUCUUCUACAAAGUGAUCCUAUAGAGAUGUCCUCAAUUCUCUCCAAAAUCAAAGAAUGGCAAAUAAUAUUAAUAAAAAUAAUAUCAACAAAAGUUCAAGGACAUCUCUGCUUUGACAUCUUCUGGAAAUACCAAGGAACUUAUUGGAAUAGUCAAGAACAUACUGGAACAAUCAGGAACAUGCAUACAAGAUUUUUACAUGUGCAUGUAAGAUUGAAAUUUUCAUUGUGCAUGGAAUCUUCCUGGCUUGGAAAUCAGUACUAUAUUGGUGCCAUAAAAAGAAUUUGGUAAGUCUCCUACUUUGCUUACUUUGUCAAAUAGUUUGUACAAUUUCGGAGUUAGUUGUUCUUUAAAUGUUUGAUAGAAUUCACUUGUGAAUCCAUCUGACCCUGGGGAUUUUUUCUUAUGGAAUUCCUUGAUGGCUUGUUCAAUUUCUUUUUUCUGAUAUGGGAUUAUUUAAGUAUUCUGUUUCUUCUUUUGUUAAUCUAGGCAAUUUA